Molecule: ribosomal RNA, 216 nt
Filed under: Glomeromycotina sp.
Lineage: Eukaryota; Fungi; Glomeromycota
Description: partial small subunit ribosomal RNA
Rfam family: Eukaryotic small subunit ribosomal RNA (bases 87-216)
Source: RNAcentral
GGGUCAGUAGGUUGGUCGUGCCACCGGUACGUACUGGUCCCACUGAUUCCUCCUUCCUGAAGUACCGUAAUGCCAUUAAUUCGGUGUUGCGGGGAAACAGGACUGUUACUUUGAAAAAAUUAGAGUGUUUAAAGCAAGCUAACGCUUGAAUACAUUAGCAUGGAAUAAUGAAAUAGGACGAUCGAUCCUAUUUUGUUGGUUUCUAGGAUUGACGUA